GGAACCGCUGACGUGCCAUAAGCUGGAGGAGUGUGAUUUUUAAAGAUGAUUUGACCGCAGUGGGAAAUACGUACAGCACCAGUUGCAACACUGUUGUAAUGGCCCAGGCAGGCCUCAGACCCAGUGAGGGCGUGAGGGCUUAAACCAGAACAGUGAUACCGGGGAUGGAGAAAUAAAGUCAAAUUUAAGCCCACCCAGGCCCAGCUGGAUUUCCAUGCCCCAAUUUACUGUCAUGGCCAGAGCUCCUGAGCAUGCGCUGAAGGAAGAGCUGGACUAACCAACGCUCUCUUGGGGCUCAAGGUAAUGUGUGUCCCAGAAGUGUACUGAAACUUGCUGUGAGAGAUAAUAGACUUCGUGUAUAUUAAGCGUUAUAUCAGAUCCUUUGGGAAUCAGUGUUGAACACCAGCCUAAAUGUACCUGGAGUUACUGUCUUUUUAAGAAAUCUGAAGAAUGUUGUUCCUUCUGCAGGAACCUUCAUGCUGAGAUGACCCUAUAUUGUUAGUAUGUCACAGCGAGAUGCCUUAAUGAAGAUAGUCAGAGUGCAGAUAACUGCCAGCAUUACGUUGAUAUAAACACAGCAAAUACAAAGGGAAUGAUCAGAUCACAAGGAAGCCAGAUUCUGUGGGUAGAUUUCUGGGAGGAAGGAACAAGAAGACAAAGGGAGGAGAAGCAAAAAGAAAAUGGACUUAGCAGUGAGAUGGACGUGUCUCCAUCAUCUUGCCGCUCAAAGCAACACCCAUCAUUCAAAAACCAUCCUUAAGUUGGUGAAAUAUAUAUAUAUUAAAACAGAUCUAAGUUUAAAGCGGAGAUCUCAAACCUUAGCAAUAAAACAAAAGAAUAUGAAUAGAGGUAGGUCUAAACUUCAGGAGUUACAGUGGGGAGAUAUGAAAUAUGGGGGAAAUUAAGUAUGUUUGAGUUUAGACGGUAAAGUGUUUUGUUUGCUAAAAGUCCAAAUGUACAUGUUGUCCCAAGAGGCACGGAGCUUAGAUAAUAGGACAUUCAUAUAAUUCAACAAAUUCAUUCCUGAGUGCCAACUUUAAUGAAAAUGUCAGUGUUGUUGUUGCUGUUAUUGCUGGCAUUUCUUAUAUGGGAGAGUUGUACAACUAUGUAAUACAGGCCAAAGUGGUGAAUUUACUAUAUUCAGGGAUCAAUACAUUGAGGCUGUGAUUUGAUGGGGUGGAUGAAAAUGUGCUUUGUAGAAGGACAAAUGCCUCAUCGCUCCCUAUAAUUAA
Eptesicus fuscus (big brown bat) is the source of this 1232-nucleotide long non-coding RNA. RefSeq lists it as uncharacterized. NCBI's taxonomy places the organism in Eukaryota, Metazoa, Chordata, Mammalia, Chiroptera, Vespertilionidae. The transcript has 3 exons. The record is from RefSeq and is a predicted model, not a curated record.